CCUACGGGUGGCAGCAGUGAGGAAUAUUGGUCAAUGGACGAGAGUCUGAACCAGCCAAGUCGCGUGAAGGAUGACUGCUCUAUGGGUUGUAAACUUCUUUUAUAUGGGAAUAAAAUGUUCCACGUGUGGGGUUUUGUAUGUACCAUAUGAAUAAGGAUCGGCUAACUCCGUGCCAGCAGCCGCGGUAAUACGGAGGAUCCGAGCGUUAUCCGGAUUUAUUGGGUUUAAAGGGAGCGUAGGUGGAUUGUUAAGUCAGUUGUGAAAGUUUGCGGCUCAACCGUAAAAUUGCAGUUGAAACUGGCAGUCUUGAGUACGGUAGAGGUAGGCGGAAUGCGUGGUGUAGCGGUGAAAUGCUUAGAUAUCACGAAGAACUCCGAUUGCGAAGGCAGCUCGCUGGACUGCAACUGACACUGAGGCACGAAAGUGUGGGGAUCAAACAGGAUUAGAUACCCUAGUAGUC
RNAcentral lists this ribosomal RNA (460 nucleotides) under uncultured bacterium. RNAcentral describes it as "partial 16S ribosomal RNA". It matches the Rfam family "Bacterial small subunit ribosomal RNA", at positions 338 to 795 of the family's 1533-position model. The record is from RNAcentral.